UUACCCCAUGUUUUUCCUUCGAAUUUUCUCUAGAGAAUGUUACUAGAAUUGAUUCACAUUCUUGAUUCUAAUGCUUCUUUGAUUUUUUGCUGCCUUUGUCACGUCCUGCAUAAUUCUAUUCAUUCUAGUAUUUGUUGAGAAAAUAUAAGAAAACUCUUGGGAUCAUUAUUUGGGACCCGAGAAAUCUAAAACCUCUGCCUAUGAAAAAUAAAAAUAAAAUAGAAAGAGAGGAAGAAAUUUAUAUGCACACAGGAAUGGGUUUGUUGAUUCAAAGUAAACCUUUUUCUAUAUUUCUUCUUGCAAGAAUUACCGAUUGAUCAUUGAAUUUAACUUGAGUUUCUGACAUUCUAUGUGGUAUAGUGCUGGCCGAGACAUUGAAUUAGAAGCUAUAUGGCUAUUCUUUUGAACCCACAUAAAUUUUCCAAUAAAUAUCUCCAAGAAAAUAACAGGGCAGUCCAUAGGACAGAUGCUUGAGCCUUUGGGAAACUUCACUUUUAGAUACAUGAAUAUCUUAAGUGGGUCAAGUGAGGUCACUGGACAGUGAGCUCCAACCCCUACCAUGUGCAUUGUGUCCCCUCACUUUUUGCCUCUGCUUCAGGCACCAUUUUGAGGCCUAAAUGUAGAACUCAGUUCCCCCUUUAACUUUUAGGAUCUCAUAUUAAGGACUGGCAUUGCUGUUCUUGCUGUCUUUAAGGCAGCUUUAUCCUAAGAAAAGAGGCAGAGAAAUGGAAAGUUUAUACAUUGUUGCAAGUUUUUUUGCUUUUUCUUUCCUUCUUUUUUAUUUAUUUUUUAUUUUUUUUAUUUUUUUUAAACUGAGUUUUCCAUGGUAGAGUAUUUAGUGUUUGCUUUUAUUAUUAUAAUGUUGUUGUCUCCCAUUCUAAUGUUACUAAAUUUCAAAGGUUAGGAUGAGGGUGAGAGUCAAUCGUCUAGACGGAUAAGCUAUGCACCCUGCCUAAUAAGCCAAGUCGGAGAGAGAACUUGUCUUGGUCUCUUAUCAUUCAUAAGGUUUCUGAGAGAUAUUUUCACAUGGUUUUAGAACUGACCAUGAAAAAUGAAAUGGGCGGAUUGUGUUCAACUAUAGCUGGAGUUCAGCCCAGGUAGAUGGCCUAUCCAUCAACUAUAGUUGUUUUCAAUUUAUUGCUGGAUAUUGCAUUUGUUUUCCAAUUCUUAUGAAUCCCAAGAUUACAUUGGACCCUGUUAGAGCUCAUUACCAUUGUGGGGUCUACGCACUACCACAAGGAAAUGUAAAUUCACAAUUACCAGUUAAUCUUUACCUCUUAUUGUUAUUUUUUCCAUUUAUGUUCCUAAUCAUGUUUAUCAAUUAGUUAUUUCUUUUGUGGCCCAACAUCUUUCAAUUUUAAACCUUAUCUUUCUCUGUUAAUGAUGAAAUAGAAGUUUUCAUUAUGCCUUCACAUGUUUGAUGUUAGCCAAGAAUCCAAGUAGGUGAUGGUUUUACUUCUCUCUUUCUAGUGAACUCACUGUCUUCAACAGUUGACAACAAGCUUGCCCUAAUUGUAAUUAUUUGCAAAAUGUUAGCCCUUUGAUUUUAGGGUAUUGAGUGAAGGAACAUCAUGAAGUUUCUGGGUUGGUACUUGAAGAUUGCUGCAGUUUCAACUCUGAUUGGAGCUUCAAUGGAGUUGUUCAUGAUCAAGACUGGCUUCUAUGAUAAAGUGACUGUUUUGGAGUCGGAGAAGCUAGCUUGGGAGGGUUCCACAGAAGCUCAGGCUGUUAAAGAAGCUCUCAAUCCUUGGAGACAUCAGGAUGCCAUAGAGAGAAAAGAUUCCUAGCUUUCUCAGUUUUUGAGGGAGAAGAUGGAUAAUGGCGGAAGAAGGUCAACAUGAGCUAUAAUGCUUGGAGAUGCAUUAUCAUCCUUUACAGCUAUGCUGCAUGUUGUUUAGUGGAAUAACUGAACUGGCACAUUAUAUUAAUUUUGAAUUUUUUUAAUCCAAUAAAGUAUUCCACAUGUGGCAGAGUUUUUGGAAAAUAGAUGUGACGCUUGUUGCUUGGUGGUUUUUUUUUUUUUUUUUCCUCUCAAGAAAUUCGAAAUUUACAUUUUUGUGCUCUCGAAGAAAAGCCCUGGCACGUUCUUUGUAUUGCUUAUGUUGGUCCUUUUUGUAAAAUUCAUGGCUUUUAAUCGGCUGGAAUUUUCAGGCC
This is a long non-coding RNA of Vitis riparia (riverbank grape), 2154 nucleotides long. RefSeq lists it as uncharacterized. The transcript is spliced from 3 exons. Lineage: Eukaryota; Viridiplantae; Streptophyta; Magnoliopsida; Vitales; Vitaceae. The record is from RefSeq and is a predicted model, not a curated record.